Molecule: non-coding RNA, 75 nt
Organism: Ameiurus melas (black bullhead)
Lineage: Eukaryota; Metazoa; Chordata; Actinopteri; Siluriformes; Ictaluridae
Source: the annotation of a GenBank genome assembly
GGCACACGGUGGCCUAGUGGUUAGCACGUUUGCCUCACACCUACAGGGUUGAGGGUUCGAUUCCCGCCACUGCCC